Non-coding RNA from Bemisia tabaci, 1175 nucleotides. Lineage: Eukaryota; Metazoa; Arthropoda; Insecta; Hemiptera; Aleyrodidae. The record is from RefSeq and is a predicted model, not a curated record.
ACCAACUAACAACAUACCAUCCAGCGAUGAGGAAAAAUAUUGGAGGUUAGGACGAGUUAGUCAAAAACAUCGGCCUUUCGGGUAAGCGUCGUCGGUUGAAUUUCCUCGAUUUUUUUAAAGUUUUUUUCUAUUAUAGUAACAUUUUAGGUUUAAAAUAUUCUAUUAGAAUGUCGAGCGCGUUACAGAGCACUAUAUCGUACAUAAUUCAGCUCGGAUUUAUUCUCAGAUUCGUAAUAAACGGGGUCCUGUAGUACGGAGUCGUAACGGUUUUUUUGUGAUCCUUCAGAGAGAAGUGCAACGGAGAAAUGUCAUUGAUGCGGAUUCUUAGCUCUUAUCUUGAACGUCAUAUCUUUAGUGUUAUUAGUGCGCGUUCACCGUUAAAAUGUGUUCGAUUCUUGUGCUCUAAGUUCUCAGUUUUAGUGCGAGAAAAUGCUGUUUUUCCACUCCGAUCCCAACGCGCUCCAGCCGUGGACUGCAGGACUCAUAUGGAAGACUUCAAAUUUACUGCUCAUCAUGUUUUCAAGCACAGCGUUUUGUUAGUGUAGGCUGCAUAAUCGGCAGACUGUAAUAUUUUCUUAAUCAUCGAUAACUAUUCAAAGUAACAAUCACCAAAUCACUCGUUGAAAACCUGUCUUUUUCCUUAUGAAAAUGCUCACCAUGUUUUCAAGCCCAGCAUUUCGCUAAUGUAGGCUGCAUAAUCGGCAGACUGUAAUUAUUUUCUUAAUCAUCGAUAACUAUUCCAAGUAACAAUCACCAAAUCACUCGUUGAAAACCUGUCUUUUUCCUUAUGAAAAUGCUCACCAUGUUUUCAAGCCCAGCAUUUCGCUAAUGUAUGCUGCAUAAUCGGCAGAUUGUUAAUCAUUUUAUGAAUCAUCACACAUUGAAAACCUGUCUUUUUCCUUAUGAAAAUGCUCACCAUGUUUUCAAGCCCAGCAUUUUGCUAAUGUAAGCUGCAUAGUUGGCGAACUGUAGAAGAUCCAGCAAUCAUGAUAUGUGAAUUCAAAUCUUCAAUGUAAUGUGUUAAACUUGUCUACGUCUAGUGAUGCUCAAUGUUGUUUAUCUAUGAUUAGUUUCUGUCACAUCACCUAGCAAGAGUGUGUCACCAUUGCCCUCGAUUUUGUUGUAAAAUGAAAAUGAAAUUUUAUCAAUUAAAGCCUUCUAAAAUCUUGCUCAUA